Molecule: long non-coding RNA, 903 nt
Organism: Cygnus olor (mute swan)
Lineage: Eukaryota; Metazoa; Chordata; Aves; Anseriformes; Anatidae
Exons: 3
Source: RefSeq, a predicted model, not a curated record
CUAAGAGGCUGCUUUGCAGCUCCGGGCCGGACGGCAGCACCCCUGCAGGGCUGCGCCAGCCACGGGACCCCUGCGCGGCCAGCUGGGGAGCGCCCGGCUGCUGGGGUGCCACCGAUGGAGAGCACAGCUUUGGAAAUCCUGCCAGGCCGUCGUGCAUCUCCACUUUAACGUGGCUUCUGGGAAUUUCCAAGUGUUUCUGGGCUGCUAAGCGAAUUUAUAAGCAGAUGCCUGCUUCUCACUGCUGGUGCCAAAUGGAUUGCAUCAAUUACAAUGUCAUACCUAUGAAGCUCCAGAGCACAGAGCAAGUAGAAGGACAGCAGUUGGUCUGCAGAGGAUUAUUGCUCUGUCUGAAGACUCUUUCAGAACAACAUCCUGGUAUCUGUCUCCAAUAGAAACCAAGAUGAAAUGUGCAAUCAUCAUAUUGGAACAAAUAAAGUGUCUUUUAAGAAUUUGAGAACUUCUGAUGUACACCUGCCUCGGAGGUCAGAGACUACUUCUGGCAGACAGAGGAAGUACCAGCCACUGCGCUGGGACGAACCCAUGCAACCACGCGGGUUCCACAUCUAACCUGUAAAGGGGACAGAAGAAAACGGCCAAGUGCGUUGUCUGGAGAGUGAAGCAGAGCAGGUAAUCGAUAGCAGUGAGCUGAAACCUCGCUGUCUUCCAGGCAGACUGAGCCUGAACAUAGCUGCUUGGAAGCAGGAGCACACAGCAAUGUGGGCAAGUCCUAAAUCACAUUCCCUUGCUCUUCUAGCGCUGACACAAAGACCGUCCCAGGGCCACCUGAGCUGGCAUUUUAAUGCAAGAACCUCAAAGUGCAAAAGCUGCAUGUGCUGCCGUGAGAAGGAGCCACGAGCAUCUUGGAGGUCAGGGUUAUUCAAAUUAAACUUAGCGAAAAAGAGA